Molecule: ribosomal RNA, 255 nt
Filed under: uncultured bacterium
Lineage: Bacteria
Description: partial 16S ribosomal RNA
Rfam family: Bacterial small subunit ribosomal RNA
Source: RNAcentral
CGGACGGGUGAGUAACGCGUAGGAAACCUGCCGUAUACUGGGGGAUAACACUUAGAAAUAGGUGCUAAUACCGCAUAAGCGCACAGCUUCGCAUGAAGCGGUGUGAAAAACUCUGGUGGUAUACGAUGGUUCCGCGUCUGAUUAGCUAGUUGGUGGGGUAAUGGCCUACCAAGGCAACGAUCAGUAGCCGGCCUGAGAGGGUGAACGGCCACAUUGGGACUGAGACACGGCCCAAACUCCUACGGGAGGCAGCAG